Long non-coding RNA from Anguilla rostrata (American eel), 356 nucleotides. RefSeq lists it as uncharacterized. The transcript has 2 exons. Lineage: Eukaryota; Metazoa; Chordata; Actinopteri; Anguilliformes; Anguillidae. The record is from RefSeq and is a predicted model, not a curated record.
GUGCCUUCUCCGGUUCAAAUUUCUCCAAACUUUAUUGACAUACAAAGCAAAGUGACACAUACGUCGCCAAAAUAACUACACGAAAGAAAUCGUACAUCAAACAAGAGCAAAACCAAAGCAAUACUAAACUGAACCUUUUGCAUGCAAAGUGCUGAAUGAGGGCUGCCCCGGCGGUCAGUCUUCACCUCUGAGUCCAGCCUCUCCUGGGGACCCCCGGGGGCUGCCCCCGUGUUAACAUCCUGUGUAAGACAUUACCCACAAUCCCGCAGGACCUGGGUGCUGCGUUUGUGCUUGAAGGGCAGGAGGAACAUGGCUUCUGCGUAGCUCCACCAGUAAACUUGUUUACAUAACAUCUG